RNAcentral lists this ribosomal RNA (729 nucleotides) under Escherichia coli. RNAcentral describes it as "partial 23S ribosomal RNA". It matches the Rfam family "Bacterial large subunit ribosomal RNA", at positions 2005 to 2733 of the family's 2925-position model. The record is from RNAcentral. Lineage: Bacteria; Pseudomonadati; Pseudomonadota; Gammaproteobacteria; Enterobacterales; Enterobacteriaceae.
UGAUGGCCAGGCUGUCUCCACCCGAGACUCAGUGAAAUUGAACUCGCUGUGAAGAUGCAGUGUACCCGCGGCAAGACGGAAAGACCCCGUGAACCUUUACUAUAGCUUGACACUGAACAUUGAGCCUUGAUGUGUAGGAUAGGUGGGAGGCUUUGAAGUGUGGACGCCAGUCUGCAUGGAGCCGACCUUGAAAUACCACCCUUUAAUGUUUGAUGUUCUAACGUUGACCCGUAAUCCGGGUUGCGGACAGUGUCUGGUGGGUAGUUUGACUGGGGCGGUCUCCUCCUAAAGAGUAACGGAGGAGCACGAAGGUUGGCUAAUCCUGGUCGGACAUCAGGAGGUUAGUGCAAUGGCAUAAGCCAGCUUGACUGCGAGCGUGACGGCGCGAGCAGGUGCGAAAGCAGGUCAUAGUGAUCCGGUGGUUCUGAAUGGAAGGGCCAUCGCUCAACGGAUAAAAGGUACUCCGGGGAUAACAGGCUGAUACCGCCCAAGAGUUCAUAUCGACGGCGGUGUUUGGCACCUCGAUGUCGGCUCAUCACAUCCUGGGGCUGAAGUAGGUCCCAAGGGUAUGGCUGUUCGCCAUUUAAAGUGGUACGCGAGCUGGGUUUAGAACGUCGUGAGACAGUUCGGUCCCUAUCUGCCGUGGGCGCUGGAGAACUGAGGGGGGCUGCUCCUAGUACGAGAGGACCGGAGUGGACGCAUCACUGGUGUUCGGGUUGUCAUGCCAAU